Molecule: ribosomal RNA, 497 nt
Filed under: uncultured bacterium
Lineage: Bacteria
Description: partial 16S ribosomal RNA
Rfam family: Bacterial small subunit ribosomal RNA
Source: RNAcentral
GAUGAACGCUGGCGGUGUGCCUAAUACAUGCAAGUCGAGCGAACAGACGAGGAGCUUACUCCUCUGACGUUAGCGGCGGACGGGUGAGUAACACGUGGAUAACCUACCUAUAAGACUGGGAUAACUUCGGGAAACCGGAGCUAAUACCGGAUAACAUGUUGAACCGCAUGGCUCAACAGUGAAAGACGGUCUUGCUGUCACUUAUAGAUGGAUCCGCGUCGCAUUAGCUAGUUGGUAAGGUAACGGCUUACCAAGGCAACGAUGCGUAGCCGACCUGAGAGGGUGAUCGGCCACACUGGAACUGAGACACGGUCCAGACUCCUACGGGAGGCAGCAGUAGGGAAUCUUCCGCAAUGGGCGAAAGCCUGACGGAGCAACGCCGCGUGAGUGAAGAAGGUCUUCGGAUCGUAAAACUCUGUUAUUAGGGAAGAACAAAUGUGUAAGUAACUAUGCACGUCUUGACGGUACCUAAUCAGAAAGCCACGGCUAACUACGUG